AGCAUGCCGCGCUUCAAGUCGGUACCGAUGGGAGCUUGCUCCCUGAUGUUAGCGGCGGACGGGUGAGUAACACGUGGGUAACCUGCCUGUAAGACUGGGAUAACUCCGGGAAACCGGGGCUAAUACCGGAUGGUUGUUUGAACCGCAUGGUUCAGACAUAAAAGGUGGCUUCGGCUACCACUUACAGAUGGACCCGCGGCGCAUUAGCUAGUUGGUGAGGUAACGGCUCACCAAGGCGACGAUGCGUAGCCGACCUGAGAGGGUGAUCGGCCACACUGGGACUGAGACACGGCCCAGACUCCUACGGGAGGCAGCAGUAGGGAAUCUUCCGCAAUGGACGAAAGUCUGACGGAGCAACGCCGCGUGAGUGAUGAAGGUUUUCGGAUCGUAAAGCUCUGUUGUUAGGGAAGAACAAGUGCCGUUCAAAUAGGGCGGCACCUUGACGGUACCUAACCAGAAAGCCACGGCUAACUACGUGCCAGCAGCCGCGGUAAUACGUAGGUGGCAAGCGUUGUCCGGAAUUAUUGGGCGUAAAGGGCUCGCAGGCGGUUUCUUAAGUCUGAUGUGAAAGCCCCCGGCUCAACCGGGGAGGGUCAUUGGAAACUGGGGAACUUGAGUGCAGAAGAGGAGAGUGGAAAUUCCACGUGUAGCGGUGAAAUGCGUAGAGAUGUGGAGGACCACCAGUGGCGAAGGCGACUCUCUGGUCUGUAACUGACGCUGAGGAGCGAAAGCGUGGGGGAGCCGAACAGGAAUAGAUACCCUGGUAGUCCCACGCCCGUAA
This 781-nucleotide ribosomal RNA is filed under the name Bacillus sp. (in: firmicutes). RNAcentral describes it as "bacterial SSU rRNA". It matches the Rfam family "Bacterial small subunit ribosomal RNA", at positions 56 to 806 of the family's 1533-position model. Lineage: Bacteria; Bacillati; Bacillota; Bacilli; Caryophanales; Bacillaceae. The record is from RNAcentral.